This 253-nucleotide ribosomal RNA is filed under the name uncultured bacterium. RNAcentral describes it as "partial 16S ribosomal RNA". It matches the Rfam family "Bacterial small subunit ribosomal RNA", at positions 524 to 776 of the family's 1533-position model. The record is from RNAcentral.
UACGAAGGGGGCUAGCGUUGUUCGGAAUUACUGGGCGUAAAGCGCACGUAGGCGGACUAUUAAGUCAGGGGUGAAAUCCCGGGGCUCAACCCCGGAACUGCCUUUGAUACUGGUAGUCUCGAGUCCGGAAGAGGUGAGUGGAAUUCCGAGUGUAGAGGUGAAAUUCGUAGAUAUUCGGAGGAACACCAGUGGCGAAGGCGGCUCACUGGUCCGGUACUGACGCUGAGGUGCGAAAGCGUGGGGAGCGAACAGG